Molecule: ribosomal RNA, 494 nt
Filed under: uncultured bacterium
Lineage: Bacteria
Description: partial 16S ribosomal RNA
Rfam family: Bacterial small subunit ribosomal RNA
Source: RNAcentral
GACGAACGCUGGCAGCGUGCUUAACACAUGCAAGUCGAACGGAAAGGCCUGCUUUCCCUUGUGGAUUGCGGGUACUCGAGUGGCGAACGGGUGAGUAACACGUGAGUGAUCUGCCCCCAACUUGGGUAUAAGCCUGGGAAACUGGGUCUAAUUCCCGAUAGGACUGCAGGGUGGUGCCUGUGGUGGAAAACGAUUUUCUAGUGGUUGGGGAUGAGCUCGCGGCCUAUCAGCUUGUUGGUGGGGUAAUGGCCUACCAAGGCGGCGACGGGUAGCCGGCCUGAGAGGGUGGACGGCCACAUUGGGACUGAGAUACGGCCCAGACUCCUACGGGAGGCAGCAGUGGGGAAUAUUGCACAAUGGGCGGAAGCCUGAUGCAGCGACGCCGCGUGGGGGAUGACGGCCUUCGGGUUGUAAACUCCUUUCGACCGCGAGGAAGCCACCUGGUUGGAAGGGUGGUGACGGUAGUGGUAGAAGAAGCACCGGCUAACUACGUG